GAUGAACGCUGGCGGCGUGCCUAAUACAUGCAAGUCGAGCGAACAGACGAGGAGCUUGCUCCUCUGACGUUAGCGGCGAACGGGUGAGUAACACGUGGAUAACCUACCUAUAAGACUGGGAUAACUUCGGGAAACCGGAGCUAAUACCGGAUAAUAUAUUGAACCGCAUGGUUCAAUAGUGAAAGACGGUUUUGCUGUCACUUAUAGAUGGAUCCGCGCCGCAUUAGCUAGUUGGUAAGGUAACGGCUUACCAAGGCGACGAUGCGUAGCCGACCUGAGAGGGUGAUCGGCGACCCUGGACAUGAGAAACGGUCCAGACUCCUAAGGGAGGCAGCAGUAGGGAAUCUUCAGCAAUGGGCGAAAGCCUGACGGAGCAACGCCGCGUGAGUGAUGAAGGUCUUCGGAUCGUAAAUCUCUGUCAUUAGGGAAGAACAAAUGUGUAAGUAAUUAUGCACGUCUUGACGGUACCUAAUAAGAAAGCCACGGCUAACUACGUG
RNAcentral lists this ribosomal RNA (497 nucleotides) under uncultured bacterium. RNAcentral describes it as "partial 16S ribosomal RNA". It matches the Rfam family "Bacterial small subunit ribosomal RNA", at positions 28 to 507 of the family's 1533-position model. The record is from RNAcentral.